This is a long non-coding RNA of Heterocephalus glaber (naked mole-rat), 5244 nucleotides long. The record is from Ensembl. NCBI's taxonomy places the organism in Eukaryota, Metazoa, Chordata, Mammalia, Rodentia, Bathyergidae.
GGCGGAAGCGCGCGCAAGGCCCAGACGCCGCCGCGCGCAGCCACUGGCAACCGCGCCAUGGCAACCGGACGCCCGGGAGGAAUCUUAAAGCCGCAGCGCCUCCUUUCCCGUCGCCGCCCGUUCCCCAGGGGAAGGCGUCCUAUAGAGGAAGGUUCAGAGCGGGAGUCAGGACUUGGGGUCUGACUCGCACCCUCGUUCGUGUUUAUCGGAUGCGUAUCGGGCCUGCGAGGCCAAGCGCGGGCCAGACGCCGGGGAGGGGAACGGGCAGUGAUUAAAACAUGAACAAGAUCCUGCCAAGAAGAGUUCACAGUCUAGCGCGCAAGGCAGACCAGGCUGGCGAGUGAGGAUGGGGAGCUGAUGGCCUGGUUCCUCCUGACUUCUCCAUGAAUGGUUCCAGGGACUUCUAUUUUCCCAGCUCCUCGGAGGACAUGAUGAGGGUGCUUCAGCCCCUUUGGCCUCUGUCCAAGGUACCCAGGCCCCUGGGACUACAGUCAGGGGCAUGAAUGGUUUUCCUGACCCACCUGGUGUGACCUCCAGCGCAGCCUCCUGUCACCCCGAUCCAGAGAGGAUGGAGAAGGCGCAUCUGCCCACCUGGCCUGUGAAUGGGGAGGGCAUUAGUGCUUUCAAACACCUGUGGUUCUGCACCAUUCCCAGCCUGCCCAGGCCUUUCAGCCAGCCCCAGCCCCUUGCUGCUCCUCUCUGGUCCCAGGUACCUGCUCUAGGGUGGACAGCACCGAGAGGGCCAGCCCCCUGCAUCCCUUGGAAUCCACAACAGACACACAGAGAUGAGAGAGCCAGAGUGAGGAGUGUGAGAGAUCCCAGCCUAUGCUGUUCUGGGAGAGGGAGCCGGCUGCCUGCACACAGAACGGGAUUGCCAGCCAGGAGAACUGCCCUGGCCCAGUUCUCCACCAGCAGCCCUCAGUGCUUCAAAGAAGGCAGCGGUCCUUGGAGGGGUCUCUCCAGCUGUGCUCGGGGACACAAGGGCCUUCUCACCCCACGGGCUGUGGAGUGGGCUGAAGAUCGAACAGCAAGCAAGCAGACUCGGGGCGACUCAGGGAAGGGCAGCGUGAGGCUGGGACCGGAGAGGCAGAUCCUGCUCCUCCCCAGGGCCGGGGGUAUGAAGUGGUCCACUAGGACAGAGAAGACAGUUUUUGGGGUGGGAAGAGGGUGUGGUGGCCUGGAGUGGGACAGUUUCCACUGGCUGCCUCCAAGCUCUGUAUCUUUGCUCCUACCCCAACUUUGUGUCACGAAGCUUGGAACAGAGUCUUGAAUAUUUUGAGGAAAGAGGAGGGUGCUAAGAAAGACCACCUUUGGCAACCUGGCAGGAAGCUCCUGUCGCCUCACUCUUCCUUCCUUCCCCCAAGCAGGUAAACAGGAAGGGAAGGAAGGGGUGGGGAAAGUGGUGGCUGAAAGCUGUCUUUCUGUCCAGGUACCAAAGCCACAAGAGCCAGAGUGGCUCUGACUAAGAGAUGCAGGGCCAGGUAUCCUGGGAACUCCACCUUCAGGGCCUUGCAUCUCAAUUCCGUCUGUUCUAGGCUUAGACAUGGAGAAGAGGUAGAAGAUCACUUCUCAUUACACUUUUUGGUGUAACUUUCUCUAAUGGCUUAAUUUACAGCAGACAAACUUGGGCUAAGAGUUCCAAAAGCGUUCACUAUUUAGUCUUGGUUGGGGAUUUAUUUCUGGUGAAGGAGUCAUUUCCUUCCCUGUGAACCUUAGAGGCCAUGACAAAAUCCCACGGAGCAGGGCUGCAGGAAUUCCAUCUACUUGGAAGCCUGGGGACGGAUGAGACAGCCCUGGACUGGUGGUGUGAAGGAAAUGUCCCCCAGUAAUGCUCCACAGGCUGCACCUGCCUGACUCCUCUACCUUGCUUUUUUUUAGUGCUGAGGACCACACUCCGGGCCUUGGCCAUGCCGCUUCUAAGACUCGAGGGUCCGAGAUGUGAGACGUCAGCCGGUGGCCGAUAAGAUCCUGCUUGCCCUCCUCAUCUGACUUUCCUCCCUCCACACCUACAUGCUUCUCCUUUUCCUAUUUCCAGGAACUUUCCAAAUGCAGGAACACAGAGCAACUGCAGGACAGGAUUCCACCAAAUUCCCCUCUCUGGCUCUUGGUUUCCACAUCUGUAAAGUAAAGGGUCGGGCAAGAUGAACGCCACGUUGGCUUCCUUGCAGCAGUGAGGUUCCAUGGUCCAGACCCCAAGGCACCACACUCAUUUGUACAUAACCUCCAGGACACUUUCUUCACGUCAGGACAGAGGAACCACUCUGCUCUCAACUCUGCCCUCCAGUCACCUCACCAGUCUUUGGGUCCAUGGCCCCUCGCGCUUGUCCCUCUUUCUUCAGGAACCUCAGACCUCCGUUCCCAACUUCCUUUCACAAGUUUACCACAUUCCUUGGGCUAAGCCGACUGGACAAAACACCAAGAAACCACCUUACCUACUACCCUGGCUGUGAUUUCGGGCUCCAGGCCCAAGUCAACUGCUUUGGGAGGUCCUGGCCACUGGAGGAAAUGCUGGCACCUCUCCCCAGCACCUCCCCUGCUCCUCCACCUCACUGUUCUCCAUGCCAGCACGAAAAGUGGCCAGUGAUUGAUGGGCCUGGGUUCCCGGUAACCGCACCCAGUGGCCCAAUCCUCCUCCCUUCCUCAAUCCCUCCCCUGCCCCUAUUCAGAGCUCAGAUUGUCUCAUGUUGGUCCCUGAGGUCCCAUUAAUUAAAAAUACAUCCAAUUAAAUGGCAGGUGAAAACGUGCUGCUGGAGCUCCACCCCCCACCCCAGCUUGGUCUCUCCGCUCCCCCUGCCCAAGGCUCAGCUGUGCUUUGGCUGAGAAAAGAGAGGGGGGAGAGAAGGGAAGAGAGUAGAGGAAGACAUAGGGGUAGGAGGAUGGCAGGGGGCUACUUGAACCUCUGCCAGGGUAGCAUGUGCCAGCCUGGGAGGGUGGCACUGUGCCCUGGGGUCUAAUUUCUGGAGGUGUGAGUAGUUCAGUCAGCUGGGUACCCACCUCCAUUUCCCUUAAAGAGGCAGAGGGCAGCCAGGGGGUGGCUAACUGUGCUGCCUACUUCUGCGUUUGGUGGCACGAGCGUAAAUGGUAGCAGGGCCUUCGGAGGGGUGUGCUGUUCAGAGGUCAGGGGCAUCUCAGACCUCCAUCCUGGCCAUAUCUCUGCUCUUCCCCAAACUGCGAAGAAGAUAAUGAGGAGCCAAUGGGGACCCAGGUGGCAGGACACGGCAACGCUCCUGAGCCUGGCUGGGGCUGCUCUUGCCUACAGGAAACCAAGAGACAGAUGCAGGGAGUGAGAAAGAAAGGAGCCAUGACUUGGGCAAGGGCAGACGGGUCAGAUAGAGUAGAAUAUUACAGAAAUGGGUAUUCACGUGGGCACCAUGCCCCCGAGCACUGUAUAGGCAAGAGGGCUUGGAGGCCCUCGUCCUGUUUGCCCUUGGUCUCUGCGGAAACAGCAGUCCCCUCGGCCUGGCUGCCUGGAAAGCUAUGGGCAGGGCAUCUCUAAUGAGUGGAGACCACUCCUCUCUUCCUCUUCCUCCUCCUUCUCCCCCUCCUCCUCCUCCUCCUCCAGCCUCACAGGUAGAGCACCUCCCCGGCCCCACCCCAGAGGAGCCCUAUGUCCCAAGCACAGCAAUUCGAGGCUAACGGGCCCUGGGUGCUGCUGGAGAGCAGCUAUAGAGGAAGGGGAUGAAGGGUGCACUCGGAAUCCAGGCAAGAGUGGGGGUGCCGACCCAGGGCCCCCACCUGGCCUCCUUGGCAGCCUCCGCACCUCCUCACUUCACUUUAACGCUAAUUGGAGAUUUUAAUCUGCACUGCUGCUCUGCUCAGGGUGCUGGGGGGAGCGCCAGCUGUGCAGUAAUUCCAGCAGCACCGACUGUUUAAUCAAGCUGUCCUCCUGGGGAGGGGCCUCGGGCGUGGGGGAGGAGGAGGAGGACCUCUGUCUCUCCCAGAGUCUGUGCAGCCUGGAAGGUGCUUUACGGGACGAGGGCGGGUGGCGGGUGGUCCGUGGCAUCACUAGCAGAGCCACAACCCUGCACGCGGUGAGCAUGAGGGUUGUGGCCAACAUGGGCCCCACAGAUGCCCUCCUGGCUCAGAGCCCCAGUGUGGCCUGGGUGUACCCAGCCACUGAGGCUGUCCUGAGUUCUGUGGGGCUGCACGGGGAGCAGAUGGAGAGACUCACUCACUUACUUUCCCCAUCUUCAAUUCCCCCAACACUUUCUUACUGACAAAGAUCCUUUUCUCCUUUUUUUUUGUUUUCUGAGAGUCUUGCUAUGUGGUUCAGGCUGGCCUUGAACUCACUAUGAUCCUCCCGGUUCGGCCUCCCAAGCAGUGGGAUUAUAGGCACGUACCACCAUGGCCGGCCUCAAAGAUACUUUUCUCAGAACACUUGUAAGAGAUCCCCCCUGCCCUGGAAAACCACACACACCCCACCCUCUGGGUCAGAAAGCAACUGUCAUGGAGGCAAGGGGACAGUGGGGAGACAGCUGGAGCUUGCUACGCCCUAAGGGAGAGAAAGCAAGUGCGAAGUGUUCUGGGACUGGAGCCAGGGCGGGCCAAGCUCAGGAGGGAGGGAGUGCGCUGAGGCUGCAGGCCACUAGAGCAGUGUGUGUGGGGCCUCAGGUCAUCUCACAGGAAGAACAAGUGGUGCCAGGUAUCCUGCCAGAUUCCCAGCCCUGUGUCUGGGCUCUCUAGGGCCUUCUGACUCAUCUUAGGGAAAGGGCGCCCUCACCUAGGCUGCAAGGGGUGAGUUUUAAUUAGUCGGCAGUGCCCUCGUGUGGCAGGAGCCAGGACUGCAGUGGCCCAGCGGGGCAGACACCCUGGUUGACAGACAGGCGGCAGCGUCAUCAAUGCUGGUGCUCUCUGUGCCAUCAAGGUGUCCCACACACGCGUACUAUUUGACUGCUUACAGGGACAUUUCUGCUUCCUAACAUCUGCUUGAUCCCUCUUACCCACUAUGGCCCACCUGCUCCACUUCUAGCUCAAAGCAGCUGCCUAGCAGGGAGGCAAUGCCUUCCUAGAGUGCGCUUCUGCUGGCAGGCCUGCUGCUGGUGCUGGAGUUGAGAGAGACAUUGGCUGGGCCACAAGGGUCGGGGCGGGGGGUUUCGCCCAUGGUGCCCAGGCAGCAAUACGCUGCUCUGACCCACGACAACUCUCCCAAGGCCCCAGAGGGCAAGAACACCUACAGUGAAGAAGAGGAGCACCUGUGGCUGACUGCCCUCAGCCAUCUCCCUGGUCAGGAACUCUCAGAGCCCA